GACGAACGCUGGCGGCGUGCCUAAUACAUGCAAGUCGAACGCUUCUUUCCUCCCGAGUGCUUGCACUCAAUUGGAAAGAGGAGUGGCGGACGGGUGAGUAACACGUGGGUAACCUACCCAUCAGAGGGGGAUGACACUUGGAAACAGGUGCUAAUACCGCAUAACAGUUUAUGCCGCAUGGCAUAAGAGUGAAAGGCGCUUUCGGGUGUCGCUGAUGGAUGGACCCGCGGUGCAUUAGCUAGUUGGUGAGGUAACGGCUCACCAAGGCCACGAUGCAUAGCCGACGUGAGAGAGUGAUCGGCCACACUGGGACUGAGACACGGACCAGACUCCUACGGGAGGCAGCAGUAGGGAAUCUUCGGCAAUGGACGAAAGUCUGACAGAGCAACGCCGCGUGAGUGAAGAAGGUUUUCGGAUCGUAAAACUCUGUUGUUAGAGAAGAACAAGGACGUUAGUAACUGAACGUCCCCUGACGGUAUCUAACCAGAAAGCCACGGCUAACUACGUG
RNAcentral lists this ribosomal RNA (508 nucleotides) under uncultured bacterium. RNAcentral's name for it is "partial 16S ribosomal RNA". It matches the Rfam family "Bacterial small subunit ribosomal RNA", at positions 28 to 507 of the family's 1533-position model. The record is from RNAcentral.